GAUGAAGAACGUAGCGAAAUGCGAUAAGUAAUGUGAAUUGCAGAAUUCAGUGAAUCAUCGAAUCUUUGAACGCACAUUGCGCCCCCUGGUAUUCCGGGGGGCAUGCCUGUCCGAGCGUCAUUACAACCCUCAAGCUCAGCUUGGUGUUGGGCCCCGCCGCCCCGGCGGGCCCUAAAGUCAGUGGCGGUGCCGUCCGGCUCCGAGCGUAGUAAUUCUUCUCGCUCUGGAGGUCCGGUCGUGUGCUCGCCAGCAACCCCAAAUUUUUUUCAGGUUGACCUCGGAUCAGGUAGGGAUACCCGCUGAACUUAAGCAUAUCAAUAGCGGAGGA
Molecule: unclassified non-coding RNA, 328 nt
Filed under: soil metagenome
Description: partial contains 5.8S ribosomal RNA, internal transcribed spacer 2, and large subunit ribosomal RNA
Rfam family: 5.8S ribosomal RNA (bases 1-120)
Source: RNAcentral